RNAcentral lists this ribosomal RNA (466 nucleotides) under uncultured bacterium. RNAcentral's name for it is "bacterial SSU rRNA". It matches the Rfam family "Bacterial small subunit ribosomal RNA", at positions 330 to 795 of the family's 1533-position model. The record is from RNAcentral.
GCCAGACUCCUACGGGAGGCAGCAGUGGGGAAUAUUGCACAAUGGGGGAAACCCUGAUGCAGCGACGCCGCGUGAGUGAAGAAGUAUUUCGGUAUGUAAAGCUCUAUCAGCAGGGAAGAAAUAGCGACCUUUGGGUCGCCAGACGGUACCUGACUAAGAAGCCCCGGCUAACUACGUGCCAGCAGCCGCGGUAAUACGUAGGGGGCAAGCGUUAUCCGGAUUUACUGGGUGUAAAGGGAGCGUAGACGGCAGCACAAGUCUGAAGUGAAAUGCCGGGGCUUAACCCCGGAACUGCUGUGGAAACUGUGCAGCUAGAGUGCAGGAGGGGCAGGCGGAAUUCCUGGUGUAGCGGUGAAAUGCGUAGAUAUCAGGAGGAACACCGGCGGCGAAGGCGGCCUGCUGGACUGAAACUGACGUUGAGGCUCGAAAGCGUGGGGAGCAAACAGGAUUAGAUACCCGUGUAAUA